This 1148-nucleotide ribosomal RNA is filed under the name Yersinia enterocolitica. RNAcentral describes it as "partial 23S ribosomal RNA". It matches the Rfam family "Bacterial large subunit ribosomal RNA", at positions 1 to 1191 of the family's 2925-position model. The record is from RNAcentral. Lineage: Bacteria; Pseudomonadati; Pseudomonadota; Gammaproteobacteria; Enterobacterales; Yersiniaceae.
GGUUAAGCGACUAAGCGUACACGGUGGAUGCCUAGGCAGUCAGAGGCGAUGAAGGGCGUGCUAAUCUGCGAAAAGCGUCGGUAAGGUGAUAUGAACCGUUACAACCGACGAUACCCGAAUGGGGAAACCCAGUGCAAUUCGUUGCACUAUUGCAUGGUGAAUACAUAGCCAUGCAAGGCGAACCGGGGGAACUGAAACAUCUAAGUACCCCGAGGAAAAGAAAUCAACCGAGAUUCCCCCAGUAGCGGCGAGCGAACGGGGAGGAGCCCAGAACCUGAAUCAGCGUAUGUGUUAGUGGAAGCGUCUGGAAAGUCGCACGGUACAGGGUGAUAGUCCCGUACACAAAAAUGCAUAUGUUGUGAGUUCGAUGAGUAGGGCGGGACACGUGACAUCCUGUCUGAAUAUGGGGGGACCAUCCUCCAAGGCUAAAUACUCCUGACUGACCGAUAGUGAACCAGUACCGUGAGGGAAAGGCGAAAAGAACCCCGGCGAGGGGAGUGAAAUAGAACCUGAAACCGUGUACGUACAAGCAGUGGGAGCACCUUCGUGGUGUGACUGCGUACCUUUUGUAUAAUGGGUCAGCGACUUAUAUUUUGUAGCAAGGUUAACCGAAUAGGGGAGCCGUAGGGAAACCGAGUCUUAACUGGGCGAAUAGUUGCAAGGUAUAGACCCGAAACCCGGUGAUCUAGCCAUGGGCAGGUUGAAGGUUGGGUAACACUAACUGGAGGACCGAACCGACUAAUGUUGAAAAAUUAGCGGAUGACUUGUGGCUGGGGGUGAAAGGCCAAUCAAACCGGGAGAUAGCUGGUUCUCCCCGAAAGCUAUUUAGGUAGCGCCUCGUGAACUCAUCUUCGGGGGUAGAGCACUGUUUCGGCUAGGGGGUCAUCCCGACUUACCAAACCGAUGCAAACUCCGAAUACCGAAGAAUGUUAUCACGGGAGACACACGGCGGGUGCUAACGUCCGUCGUGAAGAGGGAAACAACCCAGACCGCCAGCUAAGGUCCCAAAGUCAUGGUUAAGUGGGAAACGAUGUGGGAAGGCAUAGACAGCCAGGAUGUUGGCUUAGAAGCAGCCAUCAUUUAAAGAAAGCGUAAUAGCUCACUGGUCGAGUCGGCCUGCGCGGAAGAUGUAACGGGGCUAAACCAUG